Bufo gargarizans (Asiatic toad) is the source of this 580-nucleotide long non-coding RNA. RefSeq lists it as uncharacterized. The transcript is spliced from 6 exons. NCBI's taxonomy places the organism in Eukaryota, Metazoa, Chordata, Amphibia, Anura, Bufonidae. The record is from RefSeq and is a predicted model, not a curated record.
GCUGACAGUAAACUGUACCACCGCGUGGCACCUGCCCAGGAAGCAACAACACGUUUCCUGCCAGCCUUGGAGGAAGGGGAUCCGAUUAGACUCCAAGGCUGACAGUAAACUGUACCACCGCGUGGCACCUGCCCAGGAAGGAACAACACGUUUCCUGCCAGCCUUGGAGGAAGGGGAUCCGAUUAGACUCCAAGGCUGACAGUAAACUGUACCACCGCGUGGCACCUGCCCAGGAAGGAACAACACGUUUCCUGCCAGCCUUGGAGGAAGGGGAUCCGAUUAGACUCCAAGGCUGACAGUAAACUGUACCACCGCGUGGCACCUGCCCAGGAAGGAACAACACGUUUCCUGCCAGCCUUGGAGGAAGGGGAUCCGAUUAGACUCCAAGGCUGACAGUAAACUGUACCACCGCGUGGCACCUGCCCAGGAAGGAACAACACGUUUCCUGCCAGCCUUGGAGGAAGGGGAUCCGAUUAGACUCCAAGGCUGACAGUAAACUGUACCACCGCGUGGCACCUGCCCAGGAAGGAACAACACGUUUCCUGCCAGCCUUGGAGGAAGGGGAUCCGAUUAGACUCCC